CCAAUAGCGUAUAUUAAAGUUGUUGCAGUUAAAAAGCUCGUAGUUGAAUUUCGGGAUCAAAGGAUCGGUCAUGCCUUGGUAUGUACUGGUUUUAUUGGUUCUCACCUUCUAAAGAACCGUAAUGCCAUUAAUUUGGUGUUACGGGGAAUUAGGACUGUUACCUUGAAAAAAUUAGAGUGUUUAAAGCAGGCUCACGCUUGAAUACAUUAGCAUGGAAUAAUGAAAUAGGACAUCCGAUUCUAUUUUGUUGGUUUCUAGGAUCGACGUAAUGAUUAAUAG
RNAcentral lists this ribosomal RNA (279 nucleotides) under uncultured Glomus. RNAcentral describes it as "partial 18S small subunit ribosomal RNA". It matches the Rfam family "Eukaryotic small subunit ribosomal RNA", at positions 591 to 875 of the family's 1831-position model. Lineage: Eukaryota; Fungi; Glomeromycota; Glomeromycetes; Glomerales; Glomeraceae. The record is from RNAcentral.